GUGUAAGGGAGGUAACUCUGUUUGGGAUCGUGUUCACAGAUAGGUGGCGCACGCAGUUCCCGCCUCUUCGACCGCCAUUGCAACAGAAAAGUGGGUGAAAACUUGUCCGUCACAUGGGCCUCCAUGAUUUGCUACAAUUGUCAGAUAACCUGUUUUCCUAAAUGUUCGCGCUACGUCAGUGUCGUCAAUUGUGUUUCGGAUCGAACCGGAAUAUAACGCAAGUUCGAACAUUUAUAACGUUGAUAUUUAUAUCUGUCAGCAAGUCAAAUAUAUAUU
Haliotis rubra (blacklip abalone) is the source of this 276-nucleotide long non-coding RNA. RefSeq lists it as uncharacterized. Lineage: Eukaryota; Metazoa; Mollusca; Gastropoda; Lepetellida; Haliotidae. The record is from RefSeq and is a predicted model, not a curated record. The transcript has 2 exons.